RNAcentral lists this transfer RNA (82 nucleotides) under Perca fluviatilis (European perch). Its description in RNAcentral is "tRNA-Ser". It matches the Rfam family "tRNA". Rfam says of the family: Transfer RNA (tRNA) molecules are approximately 80 nucleotides in length. Their secondary structure includes four short double-helical elements and three loops (D, anti-codon, and T loops). The record is from RNAcentral. Lineage: Eukaryota; Metazoa; Chordata; Actinopteri; Perciformes; Percidae.
GAUGAGGUGACUGAGUGGUUAAGGUGAUGGACUGCUACUCCAUUGUGCUCAAAAUACAUGUGUUUGAAUCCCCUCCUUGCUG